CGACGGGAGCUUGCUCCCUUAGGUCAGCGGCGGACGGGUGAGUAACACGUGGGUAACCUGCCUGUAAGACUGGGAUAACUCCGGGAAACCGGGGCUAAUACCGGAUGCUUGAUUGAACCGCAUGGUUCAAUCAUAAAAGGUGGCUUUUAGCUACCACUUGCAGAUGGACCCGCGGCGCAUUAGCUAGUUGGUGAGGUAACGGCUCACCAAGGCGACGAUGCGUAGCCGACCUGAGAGGGUGAUCGGCCACACUGGGACUGAGACACGGCCCAGACUCCUACGGGAGGCAGCAGUAGGGAAUCUUCCGCAAUGGACGAAAGUCUGACGGAGCAACGCCGCGUGAGUGAUGAAGGUUUUCGGAUCGUAAAACUCUGUUGUUAGGGAAGAACAAGUACCGUUCGAAUAGGGCGGUACCUUGACGGUACCUAACCAGAAAGCCACGGCUAACUACGUGCCAGCAGCCGCGGUAAUACGUAGGUGGCAAGCGUUGUCCGGAAUUAUUGGGCGUAAAGCGCGCGCAGGCGGUUUCUUAAGUCUGAUGUGAAAGCCCCCGGCUCAACCGGGGAGGGUCAUUGGAAACUGGGGAACUUGAGUGCAGAAGAGGAGAGUGGAAUUCCACGUGUAGCGGUGAAAUGCGUAGAGAUGUGGAGGAACACCAGUGGCGAAGGCGACU
RNAcentral lists this ribosomal RNA (673 nucleotides) under uncultured Bacilli bacterium. RNAcentral's name for it is "bacterial SSU rRNA". It matches the Rfam family "Bacterial small subunit ribosomal RNA", at positions 70 to 726 of the family's 1533-position model. Lineage: Bacteria; Bacillati; Bacillota; Bacilli. The record is from RNAcentral.